GGCCUGAGGCGAUGGCGGCCGCCAUGAGCCCGCGCCCGUGCUCCGCCUGCCCGGCGCCAAGCGUGAGCCCCCCUCACUCCACCGUGAGCGGUACAGGCACAAGGAGGAUGCACACGUAAAGUUCGCGGUGUCGCCUACUGCUGAGACAGCACUUCUGUUAGUCAGGAAAUACCUAGCCGGUUAAAGGGCUUUGCCAGCAGCUGCUCUGCGCAAAAAUGAAAUAGUUUUGUUCGAGCUAUUGGGAAGAAGGGAGACCUAACCAGUGGAGCAGGCAGCAGCGAGCACCCCUCACUCCAGAAUGUCCCAGAACAAGCUUUAAGGAUGGAUGUGCCAUUAUCGGCUCGGGGCACACCGAGGAGCGAGCCCGACUUUGUGGGUAACAGCAGCAUAGCCAGAACAUCACCUGGGGUGCCCUGCUGCUGAAACUGCACUUUUGGAUCCAGGAAAGGCACAUCAGGUUUGCCCUGGGGUGUGGACGCUGCCCGGCUGUGCGCAGCCCACCCUCACCUCGCUGCCACCCCAGGAGAGCCCGAGACGCCUCGCACCGUUCCCACUCUGCAGUGGCUUUUGCAAAGGGCUGGUUUAUUGGAGCUGCAGAGGAGGAGGCGCACACAGGGGCGAGCAGCUGGCAGCCCCUGGG
Long non-coding RNA from Onychostruthus taczanowskii (white-rumped snowfinch), 640 nucleotides. RefSeq lists it as uncharacterized. The transcript is spliced from 3 exons. NCBI's taxonomy places the organism in Eukaryota, Metazoa, Chordata, Aves, Passeriformes, Passeridae. The record is from RefSeq and is a predicted model, not a curated record.